This 204-nucleotide non-coding RNA is filed under the name Phaseolus vulgaris (common bean). RNAcentral describes it as "Bacterial small subunit ribosomal RNA". It matches the Rfam family "Bacterial small subunit ribosomal RNA", at positions 157 to 347 of the family's 1533-position model. The record is from Rfam by way of RNAcentral. Lineage: Eukaryota; Viridiplantae; Streptophyta; Magnoliopsida; Fabales; Fabaceae.
AUGCAAGUCGGACGGGAAGUGGUGUUUCCAGUGGCGGACCCGUAGGCUGAGGAGCAAAAGGAGGAAUCCGCCCGAGGAGGGGCUUGCGUCUGAUUAGCUAGUUGGUGAGGCAAUAGCUUACCAAGGCGAUGAUCAGUAGCUGGUCCGAGAGGAUGAUCAACCACGCUGGGACUAAGUCUAAGUAGAGACCAAAGGUCUUAAGCA